Pogoniulus pusillus (Red-fronted tinkerbird) is the source of this 841-nucleotide long non-coding RNA. RefSeq lists it as uncharacterized. Lineage: Eukaryota; Metazoa; Chordata; Aves; Piciformes; Lybiidae. The transcript has 2 exons. The record is from RefSeq and is a predicted model, not a curated record.
AUCAGUGGGAGGGGGUGAACAGAGAGGGAGAAAAAGGCUCAGAGGCAUAGGAGGCAUAUGGUGGAUUCUAAGGAAUUUUGAAGCCAGUCCCAUGCUGCCAACUUGACCCAUUUUUUCCAUUCUACCGACUGUUCAAAUCUCACAGAUUAAUUAGUGAGGGAAGGCACAGCUGAUCCUGGAGCGAAAUCCAUACCCACACAUUCUGCUGCUCUGCCAGUCAGCCCUCUUGGUUUGUUCUCUGUUCUGGGAUAUAGGCUGUCAGUAUUACACUGUGCUGUAAUAGACCUGACUAGCCAUUAUCAUUAGCAGUGGGUACCAGCUUAAAAACCCAGGCAUCAAAGAACAAAAAUGCUGGCAGCUAAAUGGAGAAAUCCAGCCAGGAGGAAAACAACCCCGAGCAUCAGCCAGACGGCUGCAACUCUCUACGCAGAGGAGGAGGACUGUGCAAGACAAGCCAGCUAAAUGUUGUCUGACAUUUAAAAACAACUGUUCUAUUGUGUUGGAGAAUGUUGUUAAGAAACCUCAGCCCAAUGCAAACUGCUAUCAAAAUGACCACAAGCAGGCUGCAUCCCCCUUACACGUGCAGAUGCAGAGGAGAGAGCAGCUGAGUAUCUCCUGUAUUUUAUGGGGGGGCACAUUAUUUAUUAGAACCCUUGGAUGUCUUCAAGCUUGCUUGCUGAAACCUUGGCAAAUCCUGUUACACCUGAGAGCCCUAUUUGUAUUCACAUCCCACUGCGUUUAGGUUUUUCUCUCUCUCUCUCCCUCCCCCCCUUUUUUUUUUUCUUUGAAAAUGUUAUUAACUAGAGCAUUAAAUGCUGGCCUCCAGCAGGGCCUCUCCAUA